Molecule: ribosomal RNA, 253 nt
Filed under: Acidobacterium sp.
Lineage: Bacteria; Pseudomonadati; Acidobacteriota; Terriglobia; Terriglobales; Acidobacteriaceae
Also listed under: 1 other name
Description: partial 16S ribosomal RNA
Rfam family: Bacterial small subunit ribosomal RNA
Source: RNAcentral
UACGGGGGGGGCAAGCGUUGUUCGGAAUUAUUGGGCGUAAAGGGCGCGUAGGCGGUGUGGCAAGUCAGGUGUGAAACCUCUAAGCUCAACUUAGAGCUUGCAUCUGAAACUGCCGUGCUAGAGUGUGGGAGAGGAGAGUGGAAUUCCUGGUGUAGCGGUGAAAUGCGUAGAUAUCAGGAGGAACACCGGUGGCGAAGGCGGCUCUCUGGACCACAACUGACGCUGAGGCGCGAAAGCUAGGGGAGCAAACAGG